AGGCCGCGAACCUAAAGGAGAUCUCAGCGCACGCCAUUGGGGUCUCCUGAGGUUGAGAGGUUAUUCUUCAAAUCCAAAUUCCUGCCCUCCAUCAAUUCUCCAUCUCUUACAUGUUCAAUCUCUUGCGUUUCUCUUUUCUUCGUAGAAGAAGAAUUGCCAAUCAAGUGAUGAGAAAAAAACUGCAACAAUAUGAUGGAUUCUAUCCAUGAUUCAUGGUAUUUAAGUCUCUGAUGAUUGAUUCUGUUUUGUUUUCUCUCAUUUGAUCUGAUUUCCUUUUUAAUUUACUUAUUGGAGAUAUGAUGAGUAUUCUUAAUUGGUCCGUGUUUCUGAUUAACCGUGACAGAUAUCCGUUUAGCACACUCUGAUCUCUUGAAUCUUUCGGAAAAUUAUGUUUUAGAUUUAGAAAAUCCUGUAUUCUUUUUAUUUUCUUGACAAACUUAUGAGCUCCGUGAUUAUACGCCUGAUUUGGGCGGUAUACGCUAUUCUGAUUAAAACAUGAGCGGAUAUAUGAAGAAAAUGAGAGCUAAUUUUCACUGUAUUUUCAUUUAUUCUUAGUUUUUAUGGGUAUUUGUUUUGUUGUUUUAGUAUUUAAUAAUUUGAAGUUAUAGUCGGGCUUCUGCAAUGAUGAAUUUAUGAAACAAUUCACAUGUCAGACUUCAGAGAUUUUUCAAUCAGUGAGAAGAAAUUUCAUUUUUCUGAGCAGAAGUGACUGAGUAUCAGAAUCCCAUUUUGGCUUUCGAUUUCUUCGUGUUGGUUUCGAAUUAUAUUAGUUUAAUUCCUAAAGCUGUCAUGGAUUUGCAUUGAGAACUAAGAUGAGAAUUCGGUGGCAUUUAAAUGCGAACCUGAGGAAUUAUAUAUCGUCUAUUGAAGAAUGAACGGCUAAAGAAAUAAAUAACAGAAGCUGAAGCUAUGCUGCCAAAUAAAUAUGGGUGACUCAUCGUUGUUUAUUCUUACUAGUGUUCGAUGAGACCUAAAAAAAGAAAAUUAAUAUUAUAUGGUCGAGCUCCAUACAUAAUUGGAGUUGGUCACUAUUUGAUUAUUUUCAAUGGUUGAUGGGUAACAUGGUCUACGAAGGUUCAUAAUACAAAUGCAAAAUAGAAAGUUGGUGGUAUAUUACUUGUUGACAACAAGUCAUAUAUCUGCAAUCUGAUGAAUCUUGUGGAAGAUGCUAAUGAAUCGCUUUCGGUGACAGAAAUAGCAAGCGUCUUCUUUUGCUUCUUUGAGCACUAAAUCAUUAGAUCAGUUUAGCCACAUUUGUUUCUAAUCCCUCGCAGAGAACCAAAGAGGUGCAAAUCUAAUGUUUUCUUGGGAAACCAGUCUCUGUUGUUUGCCCUUGAGAGGGCCAUAAGGAAAUUACCGGCAACUUCACUGAGAUUAAGAUCUGGCGAGCUUUAAGAAAAAAGAUCUUUUUAUCCCGAAUUUAAUUGGAUGGUAAGAGAUAUUUCAGUCUCAUUGUUAGUGAACAUCACAACUCAUUAAACUCUCUCUAGACAGUUAGCCUUCUCUAGGCAGUUAGCCUUUUUCUGCAGGAAACGCCGGCCAUCCCUACCCAAUAGCUGUGGGGGUGGCUUUUCUCACCUCAGCCUAGAAAUGGGUUUGCUCCCUCUAUGAGGUGGGGAUGUAAAAAGUUUUCAUGUUUGUUUUUUGUCUCCAGUGAAUUGAGCUUUGACGAGGGAGCUGCUUCUUGUGCCCUUUCGGUUGUUUUGGUGCUUUGGGUUUCUUCAUUUGUCCUUCCACGUCUUGAACACCGCAGUAGGCAAAUGGUGUUGUCUUGCAGAGGACUGCUUUCUUGUUAGUGCCUUGGUGUCUUUUGAUCUUGUGGUUUUUGGCUGGUUCUGGCGAUGGGUACUUGAGUUGAUUAUGAAGGUUUUCCUUUCCUUUCUGUAACAAUGGGUUCCUUCUCAGCUCUUUUGUUGUGUUUUCUCUCUGCAAGUGUGAUUGCAACUCUAUUCUUGGCUCCAGACUCACGGAUCUGAGUUGCAUGCUAUUGAAUAUUGGUCAAGGUUAUUCUUUUGUUUGAUGUGCUGGCUGAUUGUACUGUGCUUUGAGGUUCAGUGUGUUGUAAUAAGUCUUUUGGCUAUUGUUGGGAUUCUCAAGCGUUGAUGGCAGACGGGCAUCUAGAGCAGCCUUCUCUUUCCCAUUGGGGAAGAGAUGUUGAUGUAAGGCUUGCAGUCGAAUCUUGUGUUUUGGAAUCUAGAUUUUUUGAGUUGUUUAAUGGGUUAAGGUUCGAUUGGGCUAAUCCCUUCGACUUGAAGAGAGAUGCAUCUGUCUUUGAUGUCAACAAGAUUCGAGUGAGUUGGAUAAUUCAUCACUAUGGCUUAAUUGCUCCUUUUGAGCGAGCCGGUCUUUUAUACCUACUCGCCAUUUGCUCGAUUUGAGCUCAUUCAGCAAGUACACAUAAUCGUUUGGGAAGUUGGUAGUACUUUUAGUUUAUCAUCUACAAGUGGAUUGACUAUGAUGCUAUGAACAGGAAAGCCUUGAAAUUAUUCUUUAUUAGUAAUACGAAGCUAAAAGCAAGAAAAGCAGCAAGUCAACUGUAUAUGGGCUAUUGAAUUUUAUUGAUGAAAUUUUGUUUAAGUUAUGGAGUAAGAAUUAUUAUAUUCACUGAAAAUUACGUGGAAGGCUUAAAAAAAAAACAAAAACUCAGAAUUUCUGAGUUCAGUGGUAUUAAACAAAGUGCAUUGUCUCGGAUCAUAUCUUACUUUGUUGUAAAGUUAUGCACAAUUUGAAUAACAGAAGCAAGGGCAAGAAUUAUGAAUGGGCACUUGGAUAUCUCUGUCUGUACUUGAUAUGCGCAAGAGAGGGGGGGGGGGGGGUAUUCAUAUCUAAUCAAGCAAUUUUCACUACAUUGUUACUGGUGUCAGUGUAAUUAGCAGUUCAAUUUAGUAUUAUUUAUCGCGGAGGCAACGGCGGCAAUGGCGGUGAUUGUAGUGUUUGAGGGUCUCUAACUGUUAGAAUUAAAAGAAACAAGAUAUUCUUUUUAUAUAGAGAAAAUAAAAUUUACAUAGAUUAAGGAGGCAGUUGAGCUAUAUAUAUUUUUUUAAUUUGUAUCUAAUUUACCCUUGAAUCAAUAUUUAAUGAGUGAAAUGAAUAAUGUCCUACGUGAUGCAAGGCACAUUUAUUGAGCAAAUUUGUGAAGGAAUAAAGCAUAUCAUGCGUAGAUUAUAAUAGAAUUUAUGCCACAAAAAUUCAAAAUUGGAGCUAUUUUCAUUAUUGAGCAAAUUUGUGAAGGAAUAAAGCAUAUCAUGCGUAGAUUAUAAUAGAAUUUAUGCCACAAAAAUUCAAAAUUGGAGCUAUUUUCAUUAUUUGUGCAUAUAUUGAUAAUUUAAAUUUAAAAAUAUGCUCACAUUUCUUUCAAGAUAUAAAUAUCGACAGCAACUUGAGCACAAUUUUGUGGUCAUAUCCAAUGAAUCAAUAUAUAUAUAUAUAGUAAUUAAAAGUUGUUUACAUAAUAGAUGUAAAAAGAACAAAGAAUUUUCUGAUUUACAAGAUAAUAAAUUCGUAUAAGUCAUCAAAGUAAUUAAUGCUCUUAUUUAUUAUAAUAUUAUAUGUUUAUUUAUGCUGUUCUUUCAUCUUUCAAAGAAAGCACUGAUUUUAUUUAUUAUUGUUGUGUUGGUAAAUUUAAGUGGCCUUUGUAUACACUAUUUUGUCCGCGUCACCACCUUACAGACUAUUCUCGGCUUCAAAACUCAGCUUCGGCGUGGUUCUUUGAUUGAAGCCUUGAUUGUCGGUUUGGUUGAAUCCAAAAUCAAUUCGGUGAUGCUUGUUGCAACAGGGGUUUCUAUUUUGCUAUUAGGAGGAUUGACCUUGGUUCAGACGACUUCGGAGGUUGCUUAAAGCUACUGUCUCUACUCGUGCAUACCUGCAACCGGGAGUCUUGAGAUUUAUGCUUUAUCCUCAUUCCUCGCUGUCAAAUCCUCGAACCAAGGAUUUAGGUGGACCAAUCACAGUAUAGUUUUAUUUUUCGGUUAUAUUAUUUUAUUCCGCUAUCGGGAGAUCCAUUAAAUUUUAUCUGUUUAUUUAGAUUAAAACUAGUCUCUUAUCCUCUUUUUCUCUUAAAAAAAUAUAUUUUUUCUUUUUCGAAAUGACCGAUAAUUCAUGAGCUGCUGCUAAGGUUGCUACCAAUGAGAAUGCUAUCAUUUCUUC
Manihot esculenta (cassava) is the source of this 4146-nucleotide long non-coding RNA. RefSeq lists it as uncharacterized. The transcript is spliced from 2 exons. The record is from RefSeq and is a predicted model, not a curated record. Lineage: Eukaryota; Viridiplantae; Streptophyta; Magnoliopsida; Malpighiales; Euphorbiaceae.